GUGCAGCAGUCGCGAAACUUUACAAUGUGCGAAGCACGAUAAGGGAACUCUGAGUGCCUCCUAAGGAGGCUGUUCAGGUGUCUAAAAGCACCUGAAGGAAGGGCUGGGUAAGACCGGUGCCAGCCGCCGCGGUAACACCGGCAGCCCAAGUGGUAGCCACGUUUAUUGGGUCUAAAGCGUCCGUAGCCGGCUGGGUAAGUUCCUUGGGAAAUUUGGCUGCUUAACAGUCAAGCUUUCAGGGAAUACUGCCCGGCUUGGGACCGGGAGAGGUCAGAGGUACUCCAGGGGUAGGGUGAAAUCCAUUAAUCCUUGGGGGACCACCGGUAGCGAAGGCGUCUGACCAGACCGGGUCCGACGGUGAGGGACGAAGGCUAGGGGCGCGAACCGGAUUAGGAUACCCCCGUAGU
RNAcentral lists this ribosomal RNA (407 nucleotides) under uncultured microorganism. RNAcentral's name for it is "bacterial SSU rRNA". It matches the Rfam family "Archaeal small subunit ribosomal RNA", at positions 330 to 745 of the family's 1478-position model. The record is from RNAcentral.